RNAcentral lists this ribosomal RNA (483 nucleotides) under uncultured bacterium. Its description in RNAcentral is "partial 16S ribosomal RNA". It matches the Rfam family "Bacterial small subunit ribosomal RNA", at positions 30 to 506 of the family's 1533-position model. The record is from RNAcentral.
AUUGAACGCUGGCGGCAGGCCUAACACAUGCAAGUCGAGCGGAUGAAGGGAGCUUGCUCCUGGAUUCAGCGGCGGACGGGUGAGUAAUGCCUAGGAAUCUGCCUGGUAGUGGGGGAUAACGUCCGGAAACGGGCGCUAAUACCGCAUACGUCCUGAGGGAGAAAGUGGGGGAUCUUCGGACCUCACGCUAUCAGAUGAGCCUAGGUCGGAUUAGCUAGUUGGUGGGGUAAAGGCCUACCAAGGCGACGAUCCGUAACUGGUCUGAGAGGAUGAUCAGUCAAACUGGAAAUGAGACACGGUCCAAAGACGUACAGGAGGAAGCAGUGGGGAAUAUUGGACGAUGGGCGAAAGCAUCAUCCAGCCAUGCGGAGUGUGUGAAGAAGGGCUUCGGAUUGUAAAGAGCUUUAAGUUGGGAGAAAGGGAAGUAAGUUAAUACCUGGCUGUUUUGACGUUAAAAAUAGAAUAAGCACCGGCUAACUUAGU